UCUGCAGUCUUCUUUCGUGAGUCUUUAUGAGAUGUGAUUAAAAAACGUAACUGCUGCCACUGAGCGCCAUCCAGCGGAGAGGCGGCUUGUAAAAACACGAGACUACGUCCGCAUCCUCCUUGUCACCCGCUCUGACACUGUGAGACUUCUGGAUCUUCCUAAAGUCAGGAUGACCAGGACAGGGAUUGAACUUGGGACCUUGUGCUUGCAAGGCAGGAGCUGGAACCACUGAGCUAAAUCCCCGGCUUCACUGAGAUUUUAAAAAAGGAAAGGAAAGGGGAAAGAGAGCC
This 290-nucleotide long non-coding RNA is filed under the name Heterocephalus glaber (naked mole-rat). Its description in RNAcentral is "lncRNA (ENSHGLG00000038143.1)". The record is from RNAcentral. Lineage: Eukaryota; Metazoa; Chordata; Mammalia; Rodentia; Bathyergidae.